GGGGCCGUAGCUCAGUUGGGAGAGCGCGUGAAUCGCACUCACGAGGUCAGGGGUUCAAAUCCCCUCGGCUCCACCA
This 76-nucleotide transfer RNA is filed under the name Marinithermus hydrothermalis DSM 14884. RNAcentral describes it as "tRNA-Ala (CGC) (tRNA-Ala-CGC-1-1)". It matches the Rfam family "tRNA". From Rfam's summary of the family: Transfer RNA (tRNA) molecules are approximately 80 nucleotides in length. Lineage: Bacteria; Thermotogati; Deinococcota; Deinococci; Thermales; Thermaceae. The record is from RNAcentral.